RNAcentral lists this long non-coding RNA (1003 nucleotides) under Canis lupus dingo (dingo). RNAcentral's name for it is "lncRNA (ENSCAFG00020014094.1)". Lineage: Eukaryota; Metazoa; Chordata; Mammalia; Carnivora; Canidae. The record is from RNAcentral.
GUUAGGGACUCAGGUGGGGGGCCAGGAAGCUAUGGAGAAACCAGCUCAUUGAAAUCCAGAUAAUCCCUAAACCUCAUUUUCCCUAUUGCAUAUGACUGCCUUUCUGCCCUGCCCCCUUUUACAGGAUCGCCAAGAAGCCACCAGACCGCUUUGCCUGGCACUCCUUUUAUCUUUCUGGCCUGAGGGGGCCAUGGGCUAAUGAUCAGUGAAAUCAGGAAAGGCCAAGAGGCCCAGCUAAUCCACAAAUUGGAUCAUCCACCCCUGAAUAAUCAAGAGUUGCUGGCACAAAAGUUGGUUUCUCUCUUUGAUCAUCAGCACACUCAAAACACACCUACAUUUGCUUCUUGUGGGAGCCCUCUGGAUCUCAGUGGUGAGACUGAAAUGGGGUCCCCCUGGAGGCAAGACAGCAGACAAAGAGGAUGGCCAAAGCAGGGGCUUGAUCAACACAUGAUUCAGGCAAGGGCACUAAUCAUCGAGUGCCAAGACAUUCCCUGGAAGAGUAUUAUAUUCAUUCCUGCCAAAGAUCAACCUUCUGGGCUUGUCUACCAUCUUCCUGAAGGUCCACAAUCUUAAAAAAAAAAAAAAAAGAAAAGAAAAAAAAGAUGAAAUGGUGGCAUUUAAAGAAACCAUUUAUUUAAAUGGAAGUGUGCAGAAAGAUCUUGGCAACAGGCAAAUCUGCAGGGACUGGAUGUGGCCUGAACAGCUUACAGAAGGAAAAGAGAAACAUUUCUCAACAAAGGCAGCAAAUGGGGAGGUGGUCCCCGUACCGCUGGCCAGCUGCUGCUUCUGCUGAAUUUCUUCAUUCAUUCAAUGAAUAUUUUAUUGUGUAACUUUUCUGUACCAGACAUUAAUGAUACUUCAGGGAGCACCUCAGAAAUGGUACCUGCCUCUAUUGUCCUUCCCUUUUCCCAGAUGUAUUUGUUAGACUCCCAAGGUUGCACAGCGAGAAAUUUUGUUACUGUUCAUAGAACCUUUUACAACUUACUAACUGCUGAUAAACUGC